UAUGUGAUCGUCUCUCGCAUAUCAAUAAGCGGAGGAAAAGUAAACUAACAAGGAUUCCCCUAGUAACGGCGAGUGAAGCGGGAAGAGCUCAAAUUUGAAAUCUUAAAGGGUUUCCCUUUACGAAUUGUAGUUUAAAGAAGUGUUUUCUGUUGAGGUUUUGGUAAAAGUUCUUUGGAAUAGGACAUCAUAGAGGGUGAGAAUCCCGUAUUUGACCUUUACUUUCAACUUUGUGAUACACUUUCAAAGAGUCGGAUUGUUUGGGAAUGCAGUCCAAAAUGGGUGGUAAAUUUCAUCUAAAGCUAAAUAUUGGCGAGAGACCGAUAGCGAACAAGUACCGUGAGGGAAAGAUGAAAAGAACUUUGAAAAGAGAGUUAAACAGUACGUGAAAUUGUCAAAAGGGAAGCGUUUGACACCAGUGUUGUUUUUCUGAAAAUCAAUUAAAGAACUGUUUAUGCUAAGUUGUUUAGACUUUAUCAGCUAACUGUUUAGUUUUGAGCUUUUCUUUAAUGCACUUUUCAGUUAACAAGUCAACAUCAAUUUCUUUUGCUGUAAAAAAGCUUGAGGAAGGUGGCUUGAGAUUCGUCUUAAGUGUUUAUAGCCUCUUGCCUAUGCAGUCGGAGAGAUUGAGGUCUGCAGCGUAGAUCCUUCGGGGCUAAAUGCAUUUGUGCUAAGUUAUAGCAUUUUAUAGACAACUUGUUCGACUAUGAUUUGUCUUGUAGCUUACUCGCUUAUGUUAUUUUACCUACGCUUAGGAUGUUGAGUAGCGACAUACGCAC
RNAcentral lists this ribosomal RNA (776 nucleotides) under uncultured Neocallimastigales. RNAcentral describes it as "partial large subunit ribosomal RNA". It matches the Rfam family "Eukaryotic large subunit ribosomal RNA", at positions 24 to 649 of the family's 3401-position model. Lineage: Eukaryota; Fungi; Neocallimastigomycota; Neocallimastigomycetes; Neocallimastigales. The record is from RNAcentral.